Molecule: transfer RNA, 73 nt
Filed under: Ictidomys tridecemlineatus (thirteen-lined ground squirrel)
Lineage: Eukaryota; Metazoa; Chordata; Mammalia; Rodentia; Sciuridae
Description: Spermophilus tridecemlineatus (thirteen-lined ground squirrel) tRNA
Rfam family: tRNA
About the family: Transfer RNA (tRNA) molecules are approximately 80 nucleotides in length. Their secondary structure includes four short double-helical elements and three loops (D, anti-codon, and T loops).
Source: Rfam by way of RNAcentral
UGGGGUGUGGCUCAGUGGAUAGAGUGCUUGCCUCGCAUGCGUGGGACACUAGGUUCAAACCUCAGCACCACAU